CUGGUUCCAAUGGUCAGUGUGCUGGUUCCAACUGUCAGUGUGCCACAAUGCCUGUCAGAUCUGGUUGAGAGUGGUUCCUCUAUCCAGCUAGGACCUCCACAAAAGGGUAUCACAUAGCAUGAUAAGUUUGGAGUGUCACAACAUGAGGGAAGUAGAAAGAAGAUGUUGCAGAGCUUGAGGCUAUGUUGGGUGAGUUGGGGUGACUGUGAAAGAGGAGGGUAUAUUCUGGGUUGAGGGCUUCCAGAAAACAAAAAGUAACUUGAUGACUCAUCCUCACCUUUCAUUCAGAUGAGUGAAGAAAUGAACAAUAGUAAAGUUGCCACUCUUAAGUAAAUAUAGGACACAGGAAAUGAUUACUUGAAUUAUUUUUAUUCUGGCAUGCAAAGUACACUGAUAUGUUUUUAAA
This is a long non-coding RNA of Cavia porcellus (domestic guinea pig), 406 nucleotides long. RefSeq lists it as uncharacterized. The transcript is spliced from 3 exons. The record is from RefSeq and is a predicted model, not a curated record. Lineage: Eukaryota; Metazoa; Chordata; Mammalia; Rodentia; Caviidae.